GGUAACGCCGGACCAGGAGCGCCUGGAGUACGGGUGGGACAAGCGUGGUCCUGAUUGAGUGGGCGUAGAGAGCGCGGAGGCGGCCAGACAGGUCCGCUGUGAAAACUCGAGGCUCAACCUCGAGAUGUCGGUGGAAACCGUCUGGCUAGAGUCCGGAAGAGGAGAGUGGAAUUCCCGGUGUAGCGGUGAAAUGCGCAGAUAUCGGGAAGAACACCCGUGGCGAAGGCGGCUCUCUGGGACGGUACUGACGCUGAGACGCGAAAGCGUGGGGAGCGAACAGGAUUAGAUACCCGAGUAGUC
This 300-nucleotide ribosomal RNA is filed under the name uncultured Bacillus sp. Its description in RNAcentral is "partial 16S ribosomal RNA". It matches the Rfam family "Bacterial small subunit ribosomal RNA", at positions 496 to 795 of the family's 1533-position model. The record is from RNAcentral. Lineage: Bacteria; Bacillati; Bacillota; Bacilli; Caryophanales; Bacillaceae.